This 589-nucleotide unclassified non-coding RNA is filed under the name Hevea brasiliensis (rubber tree). Lineage: Eukaryota; Viridiplantae; Streptophyta; Magnoliopsida; Malpighiales; Euphorbiaceae. The record is from RNAcentral.
GUAAUCAGUUGUGCCGACGGAGAAUAGUUGGGGAGAACACCAGCAGUAUAUACAGUGACAGGAUAUAGUUUGUCAAUGGAGUAUGACAAUGAAGAACAUGGUUUUAUUAGUGUUCCGGCUCCUGAGUUUGGUGCAAUUUUUAUGUCAAACAUUGCAACAAAGAGAGAGUGCUUUAAGCAUAGUGUCUUUGGCCUUCCAUUGUCCAUGGGUAAUUUUGUGAAGGAGGUCAAAAAAGGAAUGAUCCUGUUCCUAUUUGAAUAUGAAAGGAGACAGCUUUUUGGAGUGUAUCGGGCUAUCUCAGACGGCGGAAUGAACAUUGUACCCCAUGCAUUUAGUUCUUCUGGGAAGCAGUUCUCUGCACAGGUCCAAUUUGAGCUGAUUUGGCGUUGUAGUCCACUAUCUGAAGAUGAGUUCUGUGAUGCCAUUAGGGAGAACUACUUUUCAGCAAGGAAGUUCCACUUUGGUCUGUCUGAUGAGCAGGUUCAUAGGCUUCUUAGAUUGUUUAGUUCAAGAAAGUUAAAGAAUAAGUUACCCCCGAGAAAGCUCACAACUGGAGUGAGCAAUGGAAUUGAUAAAGACCUUAUAAUGG